CGUGGUAACAAAGGGCCUAAUAAGGGAAACCCUCAGGACUGACGUUGCCAACAUCUGUUUACUCAUCGGUGCCUUGCACGCAAGCUUUUUUCUUCAUUCAGCCUGGGAAGGGAGGAAAGGAGGAAACACAGGGACCCUCAAGGAGCUGUGUGCCAAGGGACUCAAGCAAACCAACUACUUCUAUUAUCAAAAGAGAAAAAUGAAAGAAUAGUUUCGGGGAGGAAAAGAGAACUAAACUGUUUAACAAGCGAUUAAACAAAUCUCAUGUUCUAAAAAGCCAA
This is a long non-coding RNA of Pantherophis guttatus, 281 nucleotides long. RefSeq lists it as uncharacterized. The record is from RefSeq and is a predicted model, not a curated record. Lineage: Eukaryota; Metazoa; Chordata; Lepidosauria; Squamata; Colubridae.